This 501-nucleotide ribosomal RNA is filed under the name uncultured bacterium. RNAcentral's name for it is "bacterial SSU rRNA". It matches the Rfam family "Bacterial small subunit ribosomal RNA", at positions 8 to 520 of the family's 1533-position model. The record is from RNAcentral.
AGAGUUUGAUCAUGGCUCAGGAUGAACGCUGGCGGCGUGCUUAACACAUGCAAGUCGAACGGUGAAGGCGGAGCUUGCUCUGCUGGAUCAGUGGCGAACGGGUGAGUAACACGUGAGCAAUCUGCCCCUGACUCUGGGAUAAGCGCUGGAAACGGCGUCUAAUACUGGAUACGAGCUGCGAAGGCAUCUUCAGCAGCUGGAAAGAACUUCGGUCAGGGAUGAGCUCGCGGCCUAUCAGCUUGUUGGUGAGGUAACGGCUCACCAAGGCGUCGACGGGUAGCCGGCCUGAGAGGGUGACCGGCCACACUGGGACUGAGACACGGCCCAGACUCCUACGGGAGGCAGCAGUGGGGAAUAUUGCACAAUGGGCGAAAGCCUGAUGCAGCAACGCCGCGUGAGGGACGACGGCCUUCGGGUUGUAAACCUCUUUUAGCAGGGAAGAAGCGAAAGUGACGGUACCUGCAGAAAAAGCGCCGGCUAACUACGUGCCAGCAGCCGCGG